Molecule: long non-coding RNA, 103 nt
Organism: Etheostoma spectabile (orangethroat darter)
Lineage: Eukaryota; Metazoa; Chordata; Actinopteri; Perciformes; Percidae
Exons: 3
Source: RefSeq, a predicted model, not a curated record
CAACACCAAAGAGAAGACAGACAACGUUAGCGACUAGCUGAUGAACAUAGUGCAGCAUUUAACAGCUAAAUAGCCAGAUAUGUAACCCAAGAGUUGAUUGAGA